Molecule: long non-coding RNA, 536 nt
Filed under: Helianthus annuus (common sunflower)
Lineage: Eukaryota; Viridiplantae; Streptophyta; Magnoliopsida; Asterales; Asteraceae
Description: sRNA HanXRQr2_Chr05g0230391
Source: RNAcentral
AUGGGGCAUGGGUCAUAUAUGAGGCCUAUACGAGGCCUAUACGAGGCAUAUACGAGGCAAAAGGUGUCUAAAUAGGCAGAUAGGAUGUGUGGAUAGUUUGAGCCUUAUAUAAACUAAAAAGAAAAUCUAACAAAGUGAAAGCAAACAUUACCUUUGUUUUGAACCCGGAGUUGUUCAAAAGAUCCUUAAAUUUUUGAAGAAAUGACCCGUUGACUUUGGCAAGUUGACCCUCUGCUAUCCGUUGGAGAGACGGAAACAUAUUACAAUCAACAUUAGUUUCUCCAAAAUGAUCAUCUUGGUAGAAACCAUUGACCUCCAUUGAUCCUUUAAAUGCAAUGAUUAAAACAUCUUUUGUUGUUGACGAUGAUGAAGCUCCACCAUGUUUCUUGGUGUUGGUAACAUAAUCUUGACUGUGGUUAUGAGCAUUCAUGGAAAGAAUGCAAGCUGCUUUGAUAUGCUCAUUAGUCAGGGUUAGUUUCAUUGAAUCUCUCUCGACCUCCAUUGCUCUCUUUCUAAAAAUAAAACACAGUUUUGUA